RNAcentral lists this ribosomal RNA (253 nucleotides) under uncultured bacterium. RNAcentral's name for it is "partial 16S ribosomal RNA". It matches the Rfam family "Bacterial small subunit ribosomal RNA", at positions 524 to 776 of the family's 1533-position model. The record is from RNAcentral.
UACGAAGGGGGCUAGCGUUGUUCGGAAUCACUGGGCGUAAAGCGCACGCAGGCGGAUUGAUAAGUCGGGGGUGAAAUCCCGGGGCUCAACCUCGGAAUUGCCUUCGAUACUGGCGAUCUCGAGUUCGGGAGAGGUGAGUGGAACUGCGAGUGUAGAGGUGAAAUUCGUAGAUAUUCGCAAGAACACCAGUGGCGAAGGCGGCUCACUGGCCCGAUACUGACGCUGAGGUGCGAAAGCGUGGGGAGCAAACAGG